ACUGGUCUUUAAUAAUUUCAGGUGCAUCUCAUAGAAAGCUUCUUUUGCAAGCUGAAGAAGAAAUUGAGACUCAUCUGACUGAUGCUGGGAGGAGAAUAAUGAAGGUCCAUAAUUUGGCAAGGGAACAGAUGCUUCAGUUGAAAAAUGCAGUAGUUGACUGUUUGAAUGAAGGUAACCUUGGUUGACAUGAUUGCAAUUUAUGUUGGAGGAUGCAACGUCCAUGAUCAGGAAGAAUUUCUUGUCUGCUCAGAAUUUGUUUACGUCUUCCUGCCUGUGUAUAGCUUUAGAUUUUCAUCAGCAUUUUUACUACUUCCGUUCCAGAAGUAUUGUGACAAGUAUAUCUCGAUUGGAGCGAUUGUUGUUGAAAGUGCAGAUAUGAGUUUGCAAUUUAGAGGUUAAUUCCACUCAAGUUGGGGGUAAGCUUCUCAAGGUUUUGUUCGCCGACGCCCUAGAUCUUCCUUCUUGAGGUCACCAAUGUAUCCUCGCUUUUGCAUUUUUCACCUGAAGAUACAAUAAUGCUUCCAUACUGAGUAUCCUGUCUUCUGCCUAGUUCAUCACAACAGAUGUAUUUUUUGGUAUGAACAGGUUCUGAAUGCAGUA
Molecule: non-coding RNA, 600 nt
Organism: Coffea arabica (coffee)
Lineage: Eukaryota; Viridiplantae; Streptophyta; Magnoliopsida; Gentianales; Rubiaceae
Source: RefSeq, a predicted model, not a curated record